Long non-coding RNA from Physeter macrocephalus (sperm whale), 424 nucleotides. RefSeq lists it as uncharacterized. NCBI's taxonomy places the organism in Eukaryota, Metazoa, Chordata, Mammalia, Artiodactyla, Physeteridae. The transcript has 3 exons. The record is from RefSeq and is a predicted model, not a curated record.
CCUGGUCACCCUAUCAUCUUCUGUGAGCCCCUGAAGAACAAAGACCACAGUAAGUGAUCAGUGUUGUAUCCCCAGUACCUGUCAUGAUGCCUGGAGCAUGAAGGCAUUCAGUAAAGAUUCUUUUCCAUUAUAGGUUAUUAUAAGAUAUUGAGUAUAAUUUCCUGUGCUGUACACCAUGUGGCUGACAGGGUCCUGGUGCUCUGGCCGGGCAUCAGAUCUGAGCCUCUUAGGUGAGAGAGUGGAGUUCAGGACAUUGGUCCACCAGAGAACUCCCAACCCCACAUAAUAUCAAUCAGCAAGAGCUUUCCCAGAGAUCUCUGUCUUAAUGCUAAGACCCAGCUCCACUCAACGACCACCAAGCUACAGUGAUGGACACCCUAUGUCAAACAACUAGCAAGACAGGAACACAACCCCAUCCAUUAGA